Molecule: ribosomal RNA, 400 nt
Filed under: uncultured bacterium
Lineage: Bacteria
Description: bacterial SSU rRNA
Rfam family: Bacterial small subunit ribosomal RNA
Source: RNAcentral
UAGGGAAUUUUGCGCAAUGGACGAAAGUCUGACGCAGCAACGCCGCGUGAGGGAUGAAGGUCUUCGGAUUGUAAACCUCUGUUGAAUGGGAAAAAAAGUAGCAAUAUUUGAUGGUACCAUUUGAGGAAGCACCGGCUAACUACGUGCCAGCAGCCGCGGUAAUACGUAGGGUGCAAGCGUUGUUCGGAAUCACUGGGCGUAAAGAGAGCGUAGGCGGGAUUGUAAGUUAGAAGUUUAAUACAAGGGCUUAACCCUUGACCGGCUUUUAAUACUGCAGUUCUUGAAUGUGGGAGAGGGCAAUGGAAUUCCAGGUGUAGCGGUGGAAUGCGUAGAUAUCUGGAAGAACACCAGUAGCGAAGGCGGUUGCCUGGCCUAACAUUGACGCUGAGGCUCGAAAGCU